AUUCAAAAAUAUAAAGUUAUGCACUAUUGAAAGAAAACCAUUGGUAUGCAUUAUAAGUUGCACUUUAGCGUGCAUUGUUAGACAUACAUAUGAGUGAUUUUGUUUUUGUAGGGCUGAUUUGGGGUCGAAAUUCAGCCCCUGUCCUAAUUGAAAAUAUAUGAUGUCUUUUUUCUCAAAAUGUAGUGGAAGUUUUCCCAAAGAAAAACUUACAAAAUAUGUGAUCAAAUUCGGUUGGUUUAGGCAUGUUGGAUAUCUUCAAAUAUUAGUUUAUGCUUACCCCUAUUAGUUCUUGAUGCAAGUAAUUAGAUAAUUCAUACCAAGAAAAGUCUUAUUUGGUUAUAACAAUUGUUUGUUGAUUGAGGUAAAACAAAGACAAGAACAGAGCUUUUCGACAAUGUUUUUUAAGUGAUAUAUGCAUUCGGAGUCACCUUAGUGUGCAUUUUUAGUCAUAUCUCUUUACUUUAAUAUAUAUAUGCAUAUUAUGCAUUGUUGAAACAUUACCGGGUAUGCAUUAUGAGUAACGCUUUAGUUAGCAUUCUUAGAAAUACAUGUGAUAUAUAUGCAUUGUAAGUCACCUUAGUAUGCAUUGUCAGUCAUAUCUCUUUACUUCAACAUAUAUAUUUGCAUAAUUCAUGUAUGCAUUGUUGAAACAUAACUGGGUAUGCAUUGUAAGCCACACUUUAGUGUGCAUUGUUAGUCACACAUAUGAUAUAUGCAUUGUGAGUCACCUUAGUGUGCAUAGUCAGUCAUAUAUUAUCUUUUUACUUCAAUGUAUAUAUUAUGCAAGGUAUGCAUUGUUGAGGCUUAUCUGGGUAUGCAUUAUAAGUCUCACUUCAGUGUGCAUUGUAUGUCAUACAGGAUAUUUAUAUGUGCAUUGUAUUCUGUUUAAUGUGUAUUGUCAGUCAGACUUUUCUUUUACGUCGACGUACACAUAUGCCUAAUAUGCAAUUUUCAUCUUUGGCAUGCAUUAUAGGUCACACUGGCAUGUGUAUUGUUAGGCAUACAUAUAUAUAGUGUAUACAAAAUGAUCAAAUGAGGUAUGCAUUGUAAGUCGCAAUAUAUGGUGCAUUGUUAGUCAUACAUAUCAAAUCAAUACAGGUUGAUAAAAAUUUGAAUCAUGUAUCAGCAGUUCAUUCAAUACAUAUUCAAGCAUUUUAUUUGGCUUGUUAUAUUUGAAACUUAUUUCUGACAAUUUUUUAAAACUGCUGCAACUAAGAAAGUUUAUUUGAACACUUGGCAAUUGCUAUGUUCUGACACAUUUUAGAUUUUUUGCAGGAAAUAUGUCAAAGAGAAGCAGGUGUAUGGUGUCAAAAGAUACAUGGCAAGGAAGGAAUCCACACAAAAAAAGUCGAAAACUGGUGAAAAACAUUGACUAUGAAAAACUCGCUGCUGAGGUACUAAAACAACAAAAUCAGUCAACAACGAGCAGCAAGGAGUCAGGAUGACCAUUCCUAGCAGAACUAUUGAGCCAACUUCAUCUCCGAGCACUCCCUAGGCAACCCCUCCUACACAGAGCACUAUUCAGGCAUCCCCUCCAUCUACUCGGAGCACUAUCCAGACAACCCCGAUAGCUACUCAAAAUACUGAAAGGUCAUCAAGCAGGACAAUAAGGGUUGGACACUGUGUCAGGAAGUCAAGAUGCCUCAGUGGAGAAAUUGGUGACCAGUGUAUUGGAAGAAAUUCGUUGAGUUGACUCUUCAGGCCAGAAGGUGUCUGCUGAAAAUCAUAUUGUUGGCUGCAAUCUAUCAUAAAGUGUAGUUUUUGUGAAGUUAAACCUUCAGGCCAGAAGGUGUCUGCUGAGGUCUAUCAUGAACUGUGGGUUUGAUGAAGUCAACUUCCAGGCCAGAAGUUGUCUGCUGAAAAUUAUCACGAAUUGUAUAUUGGGUAAAGUUCAACUUUAGGCCAGAAGUUGUCUGCUGAUGUUUGGAGAAUAUCAUGUAUCGUACACAUAUGUGGCUAUCCAUUUGCAUUUAAUAGGUGAUAGCUAAGGUUUAAAGUAUGGGUAUUGCGAUACCAAAGAUUGUCUUUUUAAUUGUAUUUUGUAGACAUGUUUUGAGCCAAACUCCUUUAACUUACAUUCUAACUUACAUUAAUAUCGGUCAUUAUCAAACAUAUGUAACCUUGGUGUUGCAAUUGUUACCAAGGAAAAAAAAAUGUGCCUACCUCUGAGUUGAUCAAGUACAUCAUGAAAUAGUCAGAUUUGAAUGUGCAAAAUUAUUACUACUCGGUGAUUUCUAAUUAUACAUGUAAUAGGAAAACUGGUUAUAAUGUAUGUCCUCGUUAUACAAGUUCACUUUGGGUGGCAGUGUGUACAAACAUUGCAUGCUUGUACUUUGGCAGUUUUUGUCUGCCACCUUUUUUGCUGAUUGUUAUUUUUUACAUUCUGGAUUGUUUAUUUGGAUUUUCUUCAUGUAAUAUGUUACACUGGGGAGAUCAACUAAUGUUUUGUACAAAUUUACACAUUCUUUCAAGAGUGAUCUCCCCUUUAUCUGAUGUAUCUUUUCAUUAUCUGUCGUCAUUUAUACAUGUAUAAUAAAUGACAAAUUCAUCCAUCAAACUUUGUGUUUGCGUUACUUUAAUAUGGAUGUGAUAUGGUCUACAUAAAUUUAGAAGUGUGUGCAAAAAACUAGCUUCAGUGAACUUGUAAAAUUAGUUAAAUUACACUGGAGAACAUAAAACUGCAUUAUUGUAAAUAAUAGCAUUUAUGUACUCAUGUAAUGAUUUUAUGUACUCAUGUAAUGAAGUUUUGAGUUUGUACUUUUAGCUUGUUAAUCAAUCCGUUUUUAUCCGUGUUUCAAUUUUGUGUCAAUAUUAGAGCGAUCGAUAGGGGGUAAUUUUACCGACCAAUCAGAAGAGACACUAAAUGUAGAUUCUACGUCACUUCUUGUUUUGAUUCGAUCGCAGUAAGAAGGGUUUUGCAAGUGUUGCCCACCAUCCACCCCGAUCAUUAUUCCACCUUUAUGCCAUACUGCUAAAUUAAUAUGCAAUGUAAAGGGUUAAUGUAUAAAAAUGUUUAAAAAUACAUAUAUGUUUAUAUAUUUUAAUAUGAUUUUAUUUUGGCAGUUGUUUAUCUGCCAAAGCAGUUUUUGUCUGCCACCUUUUUUGCUGAUUGUUAUUUUUUACAUUCUGGAUUGUUUAUUUGGAUUUUCUUCAUGUAAUAUGUUACACUGGGGAGAUCAACUAAUGUUUUGUACAAAUUUACACAUUCUUUCAAGAGUGAUCUCCCCUUUAUCUGAUGUAUCUUUUCAUUAUCUGUCGUCAUUUAUACAUGUAUAAUAAAUGACAAAUUCAUCCAUCAAA
Saccostrea cuccullata (small rock oyster) is the source of this 3300-nucleotide long non-coding RNA. RefSeq lists it as uncharacterized. The record is from RefSeq and is a predicted model, not a curated record. NCBI's taxonomy places the organism in Eukaryota, Metazoa, Mollusca, Bivalvia, Ostreida, Ostreidae. The transcript has 2 exons.